ACCCGCACAAGCGGUGAUGAUGUGGUUUAAUUCGAUGCAACGCGAAAACCUUACCCACCUUUGACAUGUACGGAACCCUUUAGAGAUAGAGGGGUGCUCGAAAGAGAGCCGUAACACAGGUGCUGCAUGGCUGUCGUCAGCUCGUGUCGUGAGAUGUUGGGUUAAGUCCCGCAACGAGCGCAACCCUUGUCAUUAGUUGCUACAUUCAGUUGGGCACUCUAAUGAGACUGCCGGUGACAAGCCGGAGGAAGGUGGGGAUGACGUCAAGUCCUCAUGGCCCUUAUAGGUGGGGCUACACACGUCAUACAAUGGCUGGUACAAAGGGUUGCCAACCCGCGAGGGGGAGCCAAUCCCAUAAAGCCAGUCGUAGUCCGGAUCGUAGUCUGCAACUCGACUACGUGAAGUCGGAAUCGCUAGUAAUCGUGGAUCAGAAUGUCACGGUGAAUACGUUCCCGGGUCUU
RNAcentral lists this ribosomal RNA (461 nucleotides) under uncultured Rhodoferax sp. RNAcentral describes it as "bacterial SSU rRNA". It matches the Rfam family "Bacterial small subunit ribosomal RNA", at positions 919 to 1382 of the family's 1533-position model. The record is from RNAcentral. Lineage: Bacteria; Pseudomonadati; Pseudomonadota; Betaproteobacteria; Burkholderiales; Comamonadaceae.